UUAAGCGACUAAGCGUACACGGUGGAUGCCCUGGCAGUCAGAGGCGAUGAAGGACGUGCUAAUCUGCGAAAAGCGUCGGUAAGGUGAUAUGAACCGUUAUAACCGGCGAUGUCCGAAUGGGGAAACCCAGUGUGAUUCGUCACACUAUCGUUAACUGAAUACAUAGGUUAACGAGGCGAACCGGGGGAACUGAAACAUCUAAGUACCCCGAGGAAAAGAAAUCAACCGAGAUUCCCCCAGUAGCGGCGAGCGAACGGGGAGCAGCCCAGAGUCUGAAUCAGCUUGUGUGUUAGUGGAACGGUCUGGAAAGUCCGACGGUACAGGGUGAUAGUCCCGUACACCAAAAUGCACAGGUUGUGAACUCGAAGAGUAGGGCGGGACACGUGGUAUCCUGUCUGAAUAUGGGGGGACCAUCCUCCAAGGCUAAAUACUCCUGACUGACCGAUAGUGAACCAGUACCGUGAGGGAAAGGCGAAAAGAACCCCGGCGAGGGGAGUGAAAAAGAACCUGAAACCGUGUACGUACAAGCAGUGGGAGCACCUUCGGGUGUGACUGCGUACCUUUUGUAUAAUGGGUCAGCGACUUAUAUUCUGUAGCAAGGUUAACCGUAUAGGGGAGCCGCAGGGAAACCGAGUCUUAACUGGGCGUUAAGUUGCAGGGUAUAGACCCGAAACCCGGUGAUCUAGCCAUGGGCAGGUUGAAGGUUGGGUAACACUAACUGGAGGACCGAACCGACUAAUGUUGAAAAAUUAGCGGAUGACUUGUGGCUGGGGGUGAAAGGCCAAUCAAACCGGGAGAUAGCUGGUUCUCCCCGAAAGCUAUUUAGGUAGCGCCUCGUGAAUUCAUCUUCGGGGGUAGAGCACUGUUUCGGCUAGGGGGUCAUCCCGACUUACCAACCCGAUGCAAACUACGAAUACCGAAGAAUGUUAUCACGGGAGACACACGGCGGGUGCUAACGUCCGUCGUGAAGAGGGAAACAACCCAGACCGCCAGCUAAGGUCCCAAAGUCAUGGUUAAGUGGGAAACGAUGUGGGAAGGCACAGACAGCCAGGAUGUUGGCUUAGAAGCAGCCAUCAUUUAAAGAAAGCGUAAUAGCUCACUGGUCGAGUCGGCCUGCGCGGAAGAUGUAACGGGGCUAAACCAUGCACCGAAGCUGCGGCAGCGACACUAUGUGUUGUUGGGUAGGGGAGCGUUCUGUAAGCCUGCGAAGGUGACCUGUGAGGGUUGCUGGAGGUAUCAGAAGUGCGAAUGCUGACAUAAGUAACGAUAAAGCGGGUGAAAAGCCCGCUCGCCGGAAGACCAAGGGUUCCUGUCCAACGUUAAUCGGGGCAGGGUGAGUCGACCCCUAAGGCGAGGCCGAAAGGCGUAGUCGAUGGGAAACAGGUUAAUAUUCCUGUACUUGGUGUUACUGCGAAGGGGGGACGGAGAAGGCUAUGUUAGCCGGGCGACGGUUGUCCCGGUUUAAGCAUGUAGGCUGGUUGUCCAGGCAAAUCCGGAUAAUCAAGGCUGAGGUGUGAUGACGAGGCACUACGGUGCUGAAGUAACAAAUGCCCUGCUUCCAGGAAAAGCCUCUAAGCAUCAGGUAACAUCAAAUCGUACCCCAAACCGACACAGGUGGUCAGGUAGAGAAUACCAAGGCGCUUGAGAGAACUCGGGUGAAGGAACUAGGCAAAAUGGUGCCGUAACUUCGGGAGAAGGCACGCUGGUGUGUAGGUGAAGCCCCUGCGGGUGGAGCUGAGACCAGUCGAAGAUACCAGCUGGCUGCAACUGUUUAUUAAAAACACAGCACUGUGCAAACACGAAAGUGGACGUAUACGGUGUGACGCCUGCCCGGUGCCGGAAGGUUAAUUGAUGGGGUUAUCCGUAAGGAGAAGCUCUUGAUCGAAGCCCCGGUAAACGGCGGCCGUAACUAUAACGGUCCUAAGGUAGCGAAAUUCCUUGUCGGGUAAGUUCCGACCUGCACGAAUGGCGUAAUGAUGGCCAGGCUGUCUCCACCCGAGACUCAGUGAAAUUGAACUCGCUGUGAAGAUGCAGUGUACCCGCGGCAAGACGGAAAGACCCCGUGAACCUUUACUAUAGCUUGACACUGAACAUUGAGCCUUGAUGUGUAGGAUAGGUGGGAGGCUUUGAAGCGUGGACGCCAGUCUGCGUGGAGCCAACCUUGAAAUACCACCCUUUAAUGUUUGAUGUUCUAACGUUGGCCCCUGACCGGGGUUGCGGACAGUGUCUGGUGGGUAGUUUGACUGGGGCGGUCUCCUCCCAAAGCGUAACGGAGGAGUACGAAGGUUAGCUAAUCCUGGUCGGACAUCAGGAGGUUAGUGCAAUGGCAUAAGCUAGCUUGACUGCGAGCGUGACGGCGCGAGCAGGUGCGAAAGCAGGUCAUAGUGAUCCGGUGGUUCUGAAUGGAAGGGCCAUCGCUCAACGGAUAAAAGGUACUCCGGGGAUAACAGGCUGAUACCGCCCAAGAGUUCAUAUCGACGGCGGUGUUUGGCACCUCGAUGUCGGCUCAUCACAUCCUGGGGCUGAAGUAGGUCCCAAGGGUAUGGCUGUUCGCCAUUUAAAGUGGUACGCGAGCUGGGUUUAGAACGUCGUGAGACAGUUCGGUCCCUAUCUGCCGUGGGCGCUGGAGAAUUGAGGGGGGCUGCUCCUAGUACGAGAGGACCGGAGUGGACGCAUCACUGGUGUUCGGGUUGUCAUGCCAAUGGCACUGCCCGGUAGCUAAAUGCGGAAGAGAUAAGUGCUGAAAGCAUCUAAGCACGAAACUUGCCCCGAGAUGAGUUCUCCCUGAGACUUUAAGUCUCCUGAAGGAACGUUGAAGACGACGACGUUGAUAGGCCGGGUGUGUAAGCGCAGCGAUGCGUUGAGCUAACCGGUACUAAUGAACCGUGAGGCUUAACCUU
Molecule: ribosomal RNA, 2900 nt
Filed under: Klebsiella pneumoniae
Lineage: Bacteria; Pseudomonadati; Pseudomonadota; Gammaproteobacteria; Enterobacterales; Enterobacteriaceae
Description: bacterial LSU rRNA
Rfam family: Bacterial large subunit ribosomal RNA
Source: RNAcentral